RNAcentral lists this unclassified non-coding RNA (345 nucleotides) under soil metagenome. Its description in RNAcentral is "partial contains 5.8S ribosomal RNA, internal transcribed spacer 2, and large subunit ribosomal RNA". The stretch from base 1 to 120 matches the Rfam family "5.8S ribosomal RNA", at positions 35 to 154 of the family's 154-position model. The record is from RNAcentral.
GAUGAAGAACGCAGCGAAAUGCGAUACGUAAUGUGAAUUGCAGAAUUCAGUGAAUCAUCGAGUCUUUGAACGCACAUUGCGCCCCCUGGUAUUCCGGGGGGCAUGCCUGUCCGAGCGUCAUUGCUGCCCUCAAGCACGGCUUGUGUUUUGGGCCUCCGUCCUCCUCCCGGGGGACGGGCCCGAAAGGCAGCGGCGGCACCGCGUCCGGUCCUCGAGCGUAUGGGGCUUCGUCACCCGCUCUUGUAGGCCCGGCCGGCGCUUGCCGACACAUCAAUCUUUUUUCCAGGUUGACCUCGGAUCAGGUAGGGAUACCCGCUGAACUUAAGCAUAUCAAUAAGCGGAGGA